GAUGAACGCUGGCGGCGUGCCUAAUACAUGCAGGUCGAGCGAACAGACGAGGAGCUUGCUCCUCUGACGUUAGCGGCGGACGGGUGAGUAACACGUGGAUAACCUACCUAUAAGACUGGGAUAACUUCGGGAAACCGGAGCUAAUACCGGAUAAUAUAUUGAACCGCAUGGUUCAAUAGUGAAAGACGGUUUUGCUGUCACUUAUAGAUGGAUCCGCGCCGCAUUAGCUAGUUGGUAAGGUAACGGCUUACCAAGGCAACGAUGCGUAGCCGACCUGAGAGGGUGAUCGGCCACACUGGAACUGAGACACGGUCCAGACUCCUACGGGAGGCAGCAGUAGGGAAUCUUCCGCAAUGGGCGAAAGCUUGACGGAGCAACGCCGCGUGAGUGAUGAAGGUCUUCGGAUCGUAAAACUCUGUUAUUAGGGAAGAACAAAUGUGUAAGUAAAUAUGCACGUCUUGACGGUACCUAAUCAGAAAGCCACGGCUAACUACGUG
Molecule: ribosomal RNA, 497 nt
Filed under: uncultured bacterium
Lineage: Bacteria
Description: partial 16S ribosomal RNA
Rfam family: Bacterial small subunit ribosomal RNA
Source: RNAcentral